UCGUUGGUAUACCUGAUGCGGUGAAGAUCUUUGUAAAGGGAACAAUUAUGUUCUAUUGAUAUCCAUCGAAGCAGUGGAGAACAUCAAGAAGGAAUUAUUCGGGCUACCAUACAAGGAUAGCAAGCAACUCAAUAAAACAUUACUGGAAUGGGUGUACAAUCUGAACCAUCAAUUUGGUAUUUUUCCUCCAGAAACUGAAUUUCAAAAUAUUUUACUAUGGAUAUAUUUAAUUGGGAUAGUACAAGCAUGUCUGAAAUCUGAGCAACUGAUGCCCUGUUUGGGACCGCGAUUGCGUCGCGAAUGAGCGAGAAAAGCAAAAAAAACCCGCCAAACGUCUCGCGACUAACGCGCGUCUGCCGGCCGCCUGCAACGUGAAACGCGGAAAAAUGAACUAAGCGAGGGAAAAUCGCGAACGCGUGCUCCGAGCCGCUUACGUGUAUAAGCGACGCACGAUUCUCACCCACGGUCCCAAACAGGGCCUGAAUCUCUAGCUCAUCUAAAAAGCUGCUGCUAUUCAGUAAGUAUAAGCUAUAACCAUUACAUUGUACUUAAAGCAUUUCACUAGCUUUUCUGGAGGAAAGAGGCUUCACUUUCCUGAGUUCAUCACUAUUUUUUCUCUGUUUUCAUCCUGCUUAUCAAGGAAUCUAUUCCUGUUGCCAUAAGAUUUGAGUAGCAUUCUUUUUAUAAAUUAUAUGAACUUUAUUGAAAGAUUGCUCAAGCAGUACAUGAAAGAUUGCUGAAGCAUUCUUUUAUAAACUUAUUUGUUAAGCAUUUUCCAGUGAUGUAGGGUUGCAGAAUAUAGUUUGUUGUAAACUUUACCGGCUUUAAUGCCUUCAUGGAAUGUAACAGCACAGGAUAUAAUGUGAUUUCUAUAUUUUUUCUGAAACAAUGGUGCUCGAAUAAAAAAUAGUGUGGUGUAUUCUAUUGUAGCACCUAAACAGUUCAAAUGAUGGUUACAAUUAAUUUGUUAUUACUGUCCAAUGCACAUUCCUAGGCCAAUCAAUAAAUUUAACCAGUUUAAUUUUGUUUCCUUCAAAGGCUAGACAGAAAAGGCAUUGUUUGGUACUUUUUACUGAAAUGUGGUCUGGUGGAAACCGGAGACUAUCGGACUUGAGGCCUUAGAUUAUUGGAAAUUUCUGUAUAUUGGAUUCUUUUAGUAGCCUAUUGAGAAAGUCUUUUUGAUAUAUUUUUUGUCAGUCAUACAACAUCUAAAACUUCUCUGUUUUAAGUAUUUCAAGUAUUGAAUCCUCUAUGGAGAGCUCAUGCCUCUAUAGUUGAACAAGUUGGUUCAAUAGAUUGCAUGAUGGGUUAUUUUAGACUUAUUAGAUUGCCAUAAUUAUUGAGUAAACAACAUUUAUUUUCUGCAAUGUAAACACUUAGAUAAUGGUAAGUUUUACUUGAUCUGUGCCGAUACUAAUAUUCGUAUCCUGCAUCGGUGCUGCAUAGAUGAAAAAGUGAUAUAAGCAAUGUAUAGGAUUCUAGCAAAAGAGAAUGCCCAAUUUGUCUUCCUGAUUGAUCUCCCUCGAAUUAGGACGCCAUGGGACUCUUAAAGGAUGUCAGGUUACAAAGGAUAUGGCACUUUAAAAAUACCGAGUUGACUAGAUUAGUUACCUUUCCUAAAGCAAUCAGUAUCUGUAGUCUAUGUUUUUUUAUUUCUGUACCCAGUUAUGUGUUUCCUUAGGACUACCAGAGGGUCAAGAACGUGUACAAUAGAGACAAGGUUUGGAGCUACUGCCAAGACAAGAUAUUAGAUUACAGAAUACUUACUAAGUUACUAUUUAAUUACAAUUAAUGGUGGGAGAAACUUUGGAUCCCAGUAUUCCAGUAUGACCCCUUUAUUAUGCUUGGCAGCCUGCCCGCUUAUGUAUUGUACUUUUUUUAUGCCACUAAU
Molecule: long non-coding RNA, 1891 nt
Organism: Panicum virgatum (switchgrass)
Lineage: Eukaryota; Viridiplantae; Streptophyta; Magnoliopsida; Poales; Poaceae
Exons: 3
Source: RefSeq, a predicted model, not a curated record